AAAAAGGCUGGGAAGAGAAGAGUAGGCAAGGCUGCGUUGACAAAGAGAACUCCGGUUGCUGGGAAGGAGGGAGACGGGCUUGCUGAACAAAGACUUGGAGCUGCGCAGGGAAUCUGUUUUUGCAGAGGAUGAUGCGACGGGAUCUCCCGUUAUAGAGAUAAGGUAUACGCUGAAACCUGGCCGUACCUGAUGAGGUUGAUAUGGCGAUGUAUCAAUAAACUGAGGUGGUAACGCGGAAACUUCCGUCCUCAAG
Molecule: non-coding RNA, 253 nt
Filed under: Jeotgalibacillus campisalis
Lineage: Bacteria; Bacillati; Bacillota; Bacilli; Caryophanales; Caryophanaceae
Description: T-box sequence
Rfam family: T-box leader
About the family: Uncharged tRNA acts as the effector for transcription antitermination of genes in the T-box leader family.
Source: RNAcentral